This 67-nucleotide transfer RNA is filed under the name Anadara antiquata. RNAcentral's name for it is "tRNA-Ile". The record is from RNAcentral. Lineage: Eukaryota; Metazoa; Mollusca; Bivalvia; Arcoida; Arcidae.
GGCACUGAUCCAAUAAAUUGGGCUGAGUUGAUGUCUUAGAUUAAGGGAGAUAGUCUCCUCAGUGCUU